AAUAACCAAAAAUAACACUUAGGCUAAGGGUCAAGUUGGUAAUUUUUCUUACAUCUCCCCCCCUCGGAGCCCAGGUAUCAUAUACACCCCCAAAAUAAAAGGCUUUGAAUACUAGAAGAACAACACCUAUACCUAGCAAGAUUAAGUGAAUACCUAAAAUUGUUGUCAUUUUAUUUCUAUCUUUCCA
Molecule: non-coding RNA, 187 nt
Organism: Populus trichocarpa (black cottonwood)
Lineage: Eukaryota; Viridiplantae; Streptophyta; Magnoliopsida; Malpighiales; Salicaceae
Source: Rfam